Molecule: long non-coding RNA, 225 nt
Organism: Hibiscus syriacus
Lineage: Eukaryota; Viridiplantae; Streptophyta; Magnoliopsida; Malvales; Malvaceae
Exons: 3
Source: RefSeq, a predicted model, not a curated record
GCUUCAUGUCUCACUUUUAUUUGGAUUUAUUUGUAAAACCACAUUAGUACUGAGAAAUUGGAUGGAUGUGGGACCUGAGAUCAAUUCUUAUAUUUGUAUAUGAAAAAUUUACAAUUCUUUUGAAUGAUUUGAGAAUCUGCUGCUUAUUUUUAUAAAGACAUUUACUAGAUAUGUGUGUCUUAUUUCUAGUUGAUUAUUCUUGCAUAUACAUGGUGUAUUUGUAUC